Hippocampus comes (tiger tail seahorse) is the source of this 166-nucleotide long non-coding RNA. RefSeq lists it as uncharacterized. The record is from RefSeq and is a predicted model, not a curated record. Lineage: Eukaryota; Metazoa; Chordata; Actinopteri; Syngnathiformes; Syngnathidae. The transcript has 2 exons.
UGUAGACGUGAUGGCCAUUUUGGAGACGAGAGUUCUGUCUGAAAUUGACUUACAUGGCAUGCCAACACAAGCAUUUUUGGACAAGCUCUAUGAAGUCUUCCGGAUGGAAUCAAAUGUGACAUUCGUUCUAACAAUAAAGAGUAUCACCGAGGUUUAAAAUGGGAAG